GAUGAACGCUGGCGGCGUGCUUAACACAUGCAAGUCGAACGGAAAGGCCGAAGCUUGCUUCGGUACUCGAGUGGCGAACGGGUGAGUAACACGUGGGUGAUCUGCCCUGUACUUCGGGAUAAGCUUGGGAAACUGGGUCUAAUACCGGAUAUGACAAUCUCUUGGAUGGGGUUGUGGAAAGCUUUUGCGGUAUGGGAUGAGCUCGCGGCCUAUCAGCUUGUUGGUGGGGUAAUGGCCUACCAAGGCGUCGACGGGUAGCCGGCCUGAGAGGGUGUACGGCCACAUUGGGACUGAGAUACGGCCCAGACUCCUACGGGAGGCAGCAGUGGGGAAUAUUGCACAAUGGGCGCAAGCCUGAUGCAGCGACGCCGCGUGGGGGAUGACGGCCUUCGGGUUGGAAACUCCUUUCGCAACCGACGAAGCUUUUUGUGACGGUAGGUUGAGAAGAAGCACCGGCUAACUACGUG
This 467-nucleotide ribosomal RNA is filed under the name uncultured bacterium. RNAcentral describes it as "partial 16S ribosomal RNA". It matches the Rfam family "Bacterial small subunit ribosomal RNA", at positions 28 to 507 of the family's 1533-position model. The record is from RNAcentral.